RNA transcript from Danaus plexippus (monarch butterfly), 3833 nucleotides. It is a transcript of the gene named synaptotagmin 1, with no coding region annotated. The transcript has 12 exons. Lineage: Eukaryota; Metazoa; Arthropoda; Insecta; Lepidoptera; Nymphalidae. The record is from RefSeq and is a predicted model, not a curated record.
GCAGAUAGCGACGCGCCGAACGUUAGUUGAAACCGUAUACCGCGCCCUUACGGCCGUAACAGCCUUCCGACGAAUACAGUGAAAUCAUAAUGGGAUAUAUUCGACUCUAGCAAACAAAAAUAAGAAAUGAAGCAAACUCGUGCUAGUGACUGCUGAUUUAAGAACUUAUAAUUACAACGGGGGAACAAAUCGCCGGGGAGCAAACAAGCAAAGAUGUCGCCAGUCCUGUCAACGCAGCUGCGAUGGCGGCGCGAUGCGGAAGUGACCUCCGAAAAACCCGCUUCAAAUGGCACUACACCCUCGCCCGUCUUAACAUCGUCGAAUCCUGUGACCUCCACGAAUGCGGCUGGUUCAUCAGAGAUGCCGCCGCCUGCAACAACCACCCAGGAGUCGAUUGUUGAAAAGACCGCUGAAAUUGCCCACAAGAUGAAUAUGGAGACAUGGCAGUUAGUAGCUAUUCUUGUCGGUGUGGCUGUUGUGGUGCUCGGUAUUUGCUUCUGUUGUAUUCGACGAUGUUUCCGCAAACGACGUUCCAAGGAUGGCAAGAAAGGCAUGAAGGGAGUCGACUUCAAGUCCGUCCAACUAUUAGGUUCAGCUUACAAAGAAAAGGUUCAGCCGGACAUGGAGGAGCUCACAGAGAACGCUGAAGAACCUGAUGACGGAGAAGAGAAGAAAGAGGAACAGAAAUUAGGAAAACUACAGUACAAGCUGGAAUAUGACUUCAACAGUAACAGUCUAUCAGUCACUGUUAUACAAGCGGAAGAGCUACCUGCUUUGGAUAUGGGAGGGACAUCUGAUCCUUACGUAAAAGUUUACCUCUUGCCAGACAAGAAGAAGAAGUUUGAAACCAAAGUACAUAGAAAAACUUUGAACCCGGUAUUCAACGAAACGUUCGUUUUCAAGAGCGUGCCGUAUGCUGAUGCGAUGAACAAAACUCUCGUUUUCGCUAUCUUCGACUUUGAUCGAUUCUCCAAGCACGACCAGAUCGGAGAGGUGAAGGUACCUCUGUGUCAGGUGGACCUCGCGCAGACCAUUGAGGAGUGGCGCGAGUUGCAGAGUGUUGAGGGUGAAGGAGGACAGGAUAACAAGCUGGGAGAUAUUUGUUUCUCCCUGCGUUAUGUACCAACCGCUGGAAAACUGACCGUUGUUAUUUUGGAGGCUAAGAAUUUAAAGAAAAUGGACGUUGGUGGUUUGUCAGAUCCGUACGUAAAGAUAGCACUCAUGCAAAAUGGCAAACGUCUCAAGAAGAAGAAAACGAGCAUCAAGAAAUGCACACUGAAUCCAUAUUACAACGAGUCAUUUACUUUUGAAGUACCAUUCGAACAAAUACAGGAACCCUGCUUCUUGUUCUUCUUGUGGAUCUUUUAUCAAUUUCAUAAUCACAUAUUUCCUUAUCUCAAACCUCUUAAUAUCCUCACUCCUUACACCUAUGUCAUUAUCAGUAGAUUUGAAGGUAAGUGUUUACGUCAUGUGUCAAGUAAGAUAAAAGUGUUUGUAAAUAAAAGAAAUAAUAAGCUCUGAAAACUGAUAGUAUCAAUAUUAUCUAUAUCUUUAGGACUGAUUAAUUCAGUAUUUAUGUUUUAUUUGAUAUUAAAAAUGUUGUUCGCCUUCUAGAAAUAUUUUAAUACAACAUACACGGACACUUAAAUGAGGAAUGACGCUAUUUUAAUUCAUAGUUCCCAUAUAAUUAGUUUAGUAUACCCUGCCAUUUCAUAAAAACAUAACGCUUUCAAUAGGCAUAACGCUAAUCAUGUUAAUUCACUCACACCAACUAAAUAUAUUUAAUUGACUACUAACAAAACAAAACAACAGAAGGUGAAUUUAGUCGUAACUGUGGUGGACUACGAUCGCAUCGGCACAUCUGAACCGAUUGGUAAGGUUGUGCUGGGAUACAACGCGUCAGGAACCGAGCUUCGUCAUUGGUCCGACAUGCUGGCCAGCCCGCGUCGCCCAAUCGCGCAAUGGCACACGCUCAAAGAUCCCGAAGAUGGAGAAAAGAAGGAUUAAAAGGCGGUAACAAAACUCUUACAUCGAGGAAGAUCUAUGAAGAAUCAACGCCUUACUCAUUCAAGAGAGAUUUAAUUUUGACGUCUAUCUAUCUAUUGUUUUUUUUUUGCAGUUGUAAUAGACAUAUUAGAUUAUUUUUGAAGAAAAAUUAAUUUCAAAUCUACCUAAUGUUGGAUAUAAAAACAAAUUUAAAAUAUUUCGAUGCAUCGUGUAAGGAGGAUUUACUUUAUAAAUUUUUACAACAGCUUUGAGGAAACCCACAAAUAUAUUUUAAUAAAAUAGUUUUCAUUCUUGAUUAAAAUACCCGUUUUGUUAAAAAUUGUUUCUUCCUAUAUUCAUUUAAAGCUACAUACCUAAAUGUUAUAUUAAAACUAUGUAAAUAAUUUGAGUCCUGUUAAAUUUAUUACAUUCUAUUUUAAUACCAUGUAAGUGUUAUGAAUUCGAUACAUUAUAAGUAAAUUAUAGGUUCCUCUAAAGAAGAGUUGUUUUAAAACUGUAGAUAAUUGUUCUUUUUUGUCGUUUUUUUAUGUUUUCCUAUCGUCUUUAGAGGGACUAUUGGCCUACCUUGGUAUCUAUCUAUUAUAAUAUUCUGUUUUUCAUGACAAUUACUGCAAUUUAACCUAGAACUAUGGAAUUUUCAUGAAAUUUUUUUUUCAAUGAAUGUAAAUCUCCUUAAAAGGCGCAUAUUUAUUGCCAAGCGCUAGUUACUCCAAGCUGUUGAUCAACGACUUGUUUUCUGCGUUAAAUAUUAUAAUGUAGAAGAAUAAUUUAUUAUAUCUAAAUUAUUAUUGUAAUAUACACUCGUAAUAAUAACUAUAUUUAUCACGAUAUUAGUAGAGUUUGUAUAUCUUGUUGCUAAAUAUGUUUGCUCCGAUAUUUUCAAACAAUGUUAAAAAUUAUAGUCCUUCUAAGUAAUGUCAAUAGAGGAUUAGAACCUAAGUAAUUCUAUUAAAUAUAUUAUAACUGUUAAAUUAUAUUUUUUCUUAUAUUUACUAAAAGAAAUAUAUCUUAAAGUAAAAAUUAUAUAAUCAUGCUACAAAAUUUGGAAUAGAUAAUGUUUGUUUUUUUUUUUUUCGUUUGUUGUAAAAAAAAAAAAGUUAGUAAUUAGAAUAUUUAAAGCCCUCUAAUUUUGGUGUGACAAAUAUAAUCUAUACAUUAGCUAUUUGCUUGACUGUUGUUGAUCUCAAACAUGUAUGUUAUUGAUGUAUAUAAUGUAAUCACAUGUUAAAUUUCACCAUCACUGAAGUAGGAGUAAAAGUGUCAGGCUUCAAGUAUGUAAGUGCACUAACACAAAAACAAGUAGACUUGACGAUUGAAUACUGUAUUAAUCAAUAAAUAGUUACGUUAAAUAUAGUUUUUAUAGGGUAAUGCUACAGUGUAACUGCAAUUUUGGUAGAUUUAUGAAAAGGCAAGUGCUCCCAUUGAUCGGUAAACACCCUGACAGGUAACAUACUAAUGACAAUAUAAAAGGAUGCUGCUGUUUAUUGUAUAAUGUGAUUAAAAAUGAAUUCCUAAAUUAUGUUGUUGCUGCAACCUUUGUUUUUAAUAUGUCACAAAUAUAAUAUUAUUUAUUUCUCAAUGGCAAUGAUUUUCAAAAUAUAAUAUGUAAAUUUUAAAAAAUUUCUUUUGAAAAAUUGUCAGUAUAACUCACAUGUACAUAAUGUUUGAUAAAGUAAUCAUCAAAACAUCAUAUCACUUGCCAGUUAAAAAGUUAUUCAUGAGUUUUAUAACUUUAAAUAGAUGUCUUUUAGUGAUUAUUAUUUAAUAGUUUAUUGUAAUGUAUUACAAAAAUCGUGAAAAAUUCUAUAAUACAAAAUAAAAUAGAA